RNAcentral lists this ribosomal RNA (671 nucleotides) under Pseudomonas aeruginosa. RNAcentral describes it as "partial 23S ribosomal RNA". It matches the Rfam family "Bacterial large subunit ribosomal RNA", at positions 2259 to 2925 of the family's 2925-position model. The record is from RNAcentral. Lineage: Bacteria; Pseudomonadati; Pseudomonadota; Gammaproteobacteria; Pseudomonadales; Pseudomonadaceae.
UGGUGGGCAGUUUGACUGGGGCGGUCUCCUCCUAAAGAGUAACGGAGGAGUACGAAGGUGCGCUCAGACCGGUCGGAAAUCGGUCGUAGAGUAUAAAGGCAAAAGCGCGCUUGACUGCGAGACAGACACGUCGAGCAGGUACGAAAGUAGGUCUUAGUGAUCCGGUGGUUCUGUAUGGAAGGGCCAUCGCUCAACGGAUAAAAGGUACUCCGGGGAUAACAGGCUGAUACCGCCCAAGAGUUCAUAUCGACGGCGGUGUUUGGCACCUCGAUGUCGGCUCAUCACAUCCUGGGGCUGAAGCCGGUCCCAAGGGUAUGGCUGUUCGCCAUUUAAAGUGGUACGCGAGCUGGGUUUAGAACGUCGUGAGACAGUUCGGUCCCUAUCUGCCGUGGACGUUUGAGAUUUGAGAGGGGCUGCUCCUAGUACGAGAGGACCGGAGUGGACGAACCUCUGGUGUUCCGGUUGUCACGCCAGUGGCAUUGCCGGGUAGCUAUGUUCGGAAAAGAUAACCGCUGAAAGCAUCUAAGCGGGAAACUUGCCUCAAGAUGAGAUCUCACUGGGAACUUGAUUCCCCUGAAGGGCCGUCGAAGACUACGACGUUGAUAGGCUGGGUGUGUAAGCGUUGUGAGGCGUUGAGCUAACCAGUACUAAUUGCCCGUGAGGCUUGACCA